UAGGAGCUGGGGAGCCCUUCUGCGCCACAGAAAAUUUCCAGAGACUUGGUGAAGAUAGGAAAGCUAUCAGAAAGACUAUAGCACUAUUGUACUGUAUUUGCUGUUUUUCCUGCAGCUCAGUCGAGGGAUAACUCAGCUGAUCUCUAUUUCUUGAUUCUUUACUUCCGAUUGGCCAACCAAGACUUUUAUUUGGCAAACUCUGUCGUACAGAACGUGACAUCAUCUAUGACCCAUAACAAGAGCACGUGUUUUCAAGUGUCAGUUAGAUUUGUGGAUCAAUAAAGUUUUCUUGAAAGGUGGUCACUCUUGGU
This 311-nucleotide long non-coding RNA is filed under the name Delphinapterus leucas (beluga whale). Its description in RNAcentral is "lncRNA (ENSDLEG00000007685.1)". Lineage: Eukaryota; Metazoa; Chordata; Mammalia; Artiodactyla; Monodontidae. The record is from RNAcentral.